RNAcentral lists this non-coding RNA (28 nucleotides) under Homo sapiens (human). Lineage: Eukaryota; Metazoa; Chordata; Mammalia; Primates; Hominidae. The record is from RNAcentral.
UGGUCCACACAGGUUCCUACCACAUGUU